RNAcentral lists this ribosomal RNA (1069 nucleotides) under Bacillus sp. (in: firmicutes). Its description in RNAcentral is "bacterial SSU rRNA". It matches the Rfam family "Bacterial small subunit ribosomal RNA", at positions 8 to 1057 of the family's 1533-position model. Lineage: Bacteria; Bacillati; Bacillota; Bacilli; Caryophanales; Bacillaceae. The record is from RNAcentral.
AGAGUUUGAUCAUGGCUCAGGACGAACGCUGGCGGCGUGCCUAAUACAUGCAAGUCGAGCGGACCGACGGGAGCUUGCUCCCUUAGGUCAGCGGCGGACGGGUGAGUAACACGUGGGUAACCUGCCUGUAAGACUGGGAUAACUCCGGGAAACCGGGGCUAAUACCGGAUGCUUGAUUGAACCGCAUGGUUCAAUCAUAAAAGGUGGCUUUCAGCUACCACUUACAGAUGGACCCGCGGCGCAUUAGCUAGUUGGUGAGGUAACGGCUCACCAAGGCGACGAUGCGUAGCCGACCUGAGAGGGUGAUCGGCCACACUGGGACUGAGACACGGCCCAGACUCCUACGGGAGGCAGCAGUAGGGAAUCUUCCGCAAUGGACGAAAGUCUGACGGAGCAACGCCGCGUGAGUGAUGAAGGUUUUCGGAUCGUAAAACUCUGUUGUUAGGGAAGAACAAGUGCCGUUCGAAUAGGGCGGUACCUUGACGGUACCUAACCAGAAAGCCACGGCUAACUACGUGCCAGCAGCCGCGGUAAUACGUAGGUGGCAAGCGUUGUCCGGAAUUAUUGGGCGUAAAGCGCGCGCAGGCGGUUUCUUAAGUCUGAUGUGAAAGCCCCCGGCUCAACCGGGGAGGGUCAUUGGAAACUGGGGAACUUGAGUGCAGAAGAGGAGAGUGGAAUUCCACGUGUAGCGGUGAAAUGCGUAGAGAUGUGGAGGAACACCAGUGGCGAAGGCGACUCUCUGGUCUGUAACUGACGCUGAGGCGCGAAAGCGUGGGGAGCGAACAGGAUUAGAUACCCUGGUAGUCCACGCCGUAAACGAUGAGUGCUAAGUGUUAGAGGGUUUCCGCCCUUUAGUGCUGCAGCAAACGCAUUAAGCACUCCGCCUGGGGAGUACGGUCGCAAGACUGAAACUCAAAGGAAUUGACGGGGGCCCGCACAAGCGGUGGAGCAUGUGGUUUAAUUCGAAGCAACGCGAAGAACCUUACCAGGUCUUGACAUCCUCUGACAACCCUAGAGAUAGGGCUUCCCCUUCGGGGGCAGAGUGACAGGGGGUGCAUGGUUGUCGUCA